ACCUGAUCAGCCAUGCCGCGUGAGUGAAGAAGGCCUUCGGGUUGUAAAGCUCUUUCAGCCGGAAAGAAACGGUUACGGUUAAUACCUGUGAUUAAUGACGGUACCGGAAGAAGAAGCACCGGCUAACUACGUGCCAGCAGCCGCGGUAA
This 149-nucleotide ribosomal RNA is filed under the name uncultured ammonia-oxidizing bacterium. RNAcentral describes it as "partial 16S ribosomal RNA". It matches the Rfam family "Bacterial small subunit ribosomal RNA", at positions 381 to 523 of the family's 1533-position model. The record is from RNAcentral.